UCGAAAUAGCUUUAGGGCUAGCCUCAUGGAUCAUUGAUGGGGGUAGAGCACUGAAUGUGCGCGGGGGCCACAAAGCCUACCAAACGCUAUCAAACUUCGAAUACCAUACAAUGCAGACCAUGGGAGUCAGUCCGCGAGAGAUAAGUUCCGCGGGCAAAAGGGGAACACCCCAGAUCAACCGCUAAGGUCCCCAAGUUCACGUUAAGUGGAGAAGGAUGUGGAAUUGCACAGACAACCAGGAUGUUGGCUCAGAAGCAGCCACACAUUUAAAGAGUGCGUAAUAGCUCACUGGUCGAGUGGUUGUGCGCCGAAGAUGUCCGGGGCUAAACGUGACACCGAAGCGAUGGGUGCAUCUGAAAGGAUGCGCGGUAGAGGAGCAAUGUGCAGAGGCAGAAGCCGUAUCGAGAGGCACGGUGGACACUGCACAAGAGAGAAUGCCGGUAUGAGUAGCGAGAGGCAUGCGAGAAACAUGCCCGUCGAAAGCCCAAGGUUUCCUGGGGAAGGUUCAUCCGCCCAGGGUAAGUCGGGGCCUAAGCCGAGGACGGAAGUCGUAGGCGAUGGACAGCAGGUGUAGAUUCCUGCACUACCGAUGGAAUGAAGCAGUGACACAGAAGGAUAACUCGAGCAGGGUGAUGGUCAACCCUGUGCAAGCAUCAAGGUUGGGUUGUAGUGAAGUACGCAACCCUAUAAGCUGAGGUGUGAUGCGGACCGAAAUUUCAGUAGGGAAGCGAGUGAGUUCACGCUGGCGAGAAAAGCUGCUAGUACAUCCAAAGGUACCCGUACCGGAAACCGACGCAGGUGGGCGAGGAGAGAAUCCUGAGACGAACGGGAGAACCCUUGUUAAGGAACUCGGCAAAAUGACCCCGUAACUUCGGGAUAAGGGGUGCCUGCGAGAGCAGGCCGCAGAGAAUAGUCACAAGCGACUGUUUAGCAAAAACACAGGUAUCUGCGAAAGCGAGAGCUGACGUAUAGGUGCUGACACCUGCCCGGUGCUGGAAGGUUAAGGGAACAUGUUAGAGCAAUCGAAGCAUCGAACCGAAGCCCCAGUAAACGGCGGCCGUAACUAUAACGGUCCUAAGGUAGCGAAAUUCCUUGUCGGGUAAGUUCCGACCCGCACGAAUGGUGUAACGACUUGUGAGCUGUCUCAACAGGGGGCCCGGUGAAAUUGAAGUAUGGGUGAAGAUGCCCAUUACCCGCGACUGGACGGAAAGACCCCGUAGAGCUUUACUGCAGCCUGAUAUUGAGUUUCGGUAACUGAUGCACAGGAUAGGUGGGAGUCUGAGAGACACGGGUUUCGGCUCGUGUGGAGACGGUGUUGGGAUACCACUCUUCGGUUACUGAAAUUCUAACAUAGCUCUGUGAAACCAGAGGAUGGACAGUGUCAGGUGGACAGUUUGACUGGGGCGGUCGCCUCCGAAAGAGUAACGGAGGCGCCCAAAGGUACCCUCAGAAUGGAUGGAAACCAUUCGAAGAGCGCAAAGGCAGAAGGGUGCCUGACUGCGAGAUUGACAAAUCGAGCAGAGACGAAAGUCGGGCUUAGUGAUC
Molecule: ribosomal RNA, 1545 nt
Filed under: human gut metagenome
Description: bacterial LSU rRNA
Rfam family: Bacterial large subunit ribosomal RNA
Source: RNAcentral